AUGGUCGAUCUUCCUUGGAUCGUACUUGGUGAUUUUAAUGAAAUCCUCUUGGGACGUGAGAAGGAAGGCGGGGCACUGAGGUCCCAAAGAAAUAUGCAGAAUUUUCGUGAUGCACUGGAUGAUUGUAACUUGUUUGAUAUGGGUUACGUCGGGGACAUCUUCACAUGGCGAAGGGGAAGGAUCCGGGAGAGGCUUGACCGGGCUGUAUGUGACCAACGAUGGGAUAAUCUUUUCCCUCUGGCUGGGGUGAUCCAUGGUGAUUUCUCCAAAUCAGAUCACAGACCGAUAGUUGUCUAUACGGAGUACCAGAGUAAUAUAAGGGCAACACCUAUAGUCCGGAAACAAUUUUUUAAAGCUCGGUGGCUAGUCGAGGAAACUGUUGAUGAUGUGGUGGGCCAAGCGUGGGCAGCUGCUAACUCCGGCCCAGGGGGGCUGGCCCAAAAGGUGCGGCAGGUGCACUCGGCCCUGCAUGCAUGGGACAGGCAGGUUCUGAAGGAACCGCGGCACUAG
RNAcentral lists this ribosomal RNA (510 nucleotides) under Triticum aestivum (bread wheat). Its description in RNAcentral is "partial small subunit ribosomal RNA". The record is from RNAcentral. Lineage: Eukaryota; Viridiplantae; Streptophyta; Magnoliopsida; Poales; Poaceae.